RNAcentral lists this ribosomal RNA (428 nucleotides) under uncultured bacterium. RNAcentral's name for it is "partial 16S ribosomal RNA". It matches the Rfam family "Bacterial small subunit ribosomal RNA", at positions 354 to 796 of the family's 1533-position model. The record is from RNAcentral.
GUGGGGAAUAUUGGGCAAUGGGCGAAAGCCUGACCCAGCAACGCCGCGUGAGGGAAGAAGGCCUUCGGGUUGUAAACCUCUGUCCUUGGUGACGAAAAAAAUGACGGUAGCCAAGGAGGAAGCCCCGGCUAACUACGUGCCAGCAGCCGCGGUAAUACGUAGGGGGCGAGCGUUGUCCGGAAUUACUGGGCGUAAAGGGUGCGUAGGUGGCCUUUUAAGUUGGAUGUGAAAUACCCGGGCUUAACUUGGGGGGUGCAUCUAAUACUGGAGGGCUAGAGUGCAGGAGAGGGAAGCGGAAUUCCUAGUGUAGCGGUGAAAUGCGUAGAUAUUAGGAGGAACACCAGUGGCGAAGGCGGCUUACUGGACUGUAACUGACGCUGAGGCGCGAAAGUGUGGGGAGCAAACAGGAUUAGAAACCCCUGUAGUCC